CCUACGGGAGGCAGCAGUGAGGAAUAUUGGUCAAUGGACGAGAGUCUGAACCAGCCAAGUAGCGUGAAGGAUGACUGCCCUAUGGGUUGUAAACUUCUUUUAUAUGGGAAUAAAACGUUCAACGUGUGGGAUUUUGUAUGUACCAUAUGAAUAAGGAUCGGCUAACUCGGUGCCAGCAGCCGCGGUAAGACGGAGGCUCCGAGCGUUAUUCGGAUUUAUUGGGGUUAAUGGGAGCGUAGGUGGAUUGUUAAGUCAGGUGUGAAAGUUUGCGGCGCAACCGUAAAACUGCAGUUGAAACGGGCACUCUGGAGUACAGGAGAGGUGGGUGGAAUUCGUGGUGUAGCGGUAAAAUGCUUAGAGAUCACGAAGAACUCCGAUAGCGAAGGCAGUUCACUGGACUGCAACUGACACUGAGGCUCGAAAGUGUGGGUAUCAAACAGGAUUAGAUACCCCAGUAGUC
This 460-nucleotide ribosomal RNA is filed under the name uncultured bacterium. Its description in RNAcentral is "partial 16S ribosomal RNA". It matches the Rfam family "Bacterial small subunit ribosomal RNA", at positions 338 to 795 of the family's 1533-position model. The record is from RNAcentral.